This 1297-nucleotide ribosomal RNA is filed under the name uncultured Ralstonia sp. Its description in RNAcentral is "bacterial SSU rRNA". It matches the Rfam family "Bacterial small subunit ribosomal RNA", at positions 57 to 1351 of the family's 1533-position model. Lineage: Bacteria; Pseudomonadati; Pseudomonadota; Betaproteobacteria; Burkholderiales; Burkholderiaceae. The record is from RNAcentral.
GCAGUCGAACGGCAGCAUGAUCUAGCUUGCUAGAUUGAUGGCGAGUGGCGAACGGGUGAGUAAUACAUCGGAACGUGCCCUGUAGUGGGGGAUAACUAGUCGAAAGAUUAGCUAAUACCGCAUACGACCUGAGGGUGAAAGUGGGGGACCGCAAGGCCUCAUGCUAUAGGAGCGGCCGAUGUCUGAUUAGCUAGUUGGUGAGGUAAAGGCUCACCAAGGCGACGAUCAGUAGCUGGUCUGAGAGGACGAUCAGCCACACUGGGACUGAGACACGGCCCAGACUCCUACGGGAGGCAGCAGUGGGGAAUUUUGGACAAUGGGGGCAACCCUGAUCCAGCAAUGCCGCGUGUGUGAAGAAGGCCUUCGGGUUGUAAAGCACUUUUGUCCGGAAAGAAAUCGCACUUACUAAUAUUAGGUGUGGAUGACGGUACCGGAAGAAUAAGGACCGGCUAACUACGUGCCAGCAGCCGCGGUAAUACGUAGGGUCCAAGCGUUAAUCGGAAUUACUGGGCGUAAAGCGUGCGCAGGCGGUUGUGCAAGACCGAUGUGAAAUCCCCGGGCUUAACCUGGGAAUUGCAUUGGUGACUGCACGGCUAGAGUGUGUCAGAGGGGGGUAGAAUUCCACGUGUAGCAGUGAAAUGCGUAGAGAUGUGGAGGAAUACCGAUGGCGAAGGCAGCCCCCUGGGAUAACACUGACGCUCAUGCACGAAAGCGUGGGGAGCAAACAGGAUUAGAUACCCUGGUAGUCCACGCCCUAAACGAUGUCAACUAGUUGUUGGGGAUUCAUUUCCUUAGUAACGUAGCUAACGCGUGAAGUUGACCGCCUGGGGAGUACGGUCGCAAGAUUAAAACUCAAAGGAAUUGACGGGGACUCGCACAAGCGGUGGAUGAUGUGGAUUAAUUCGAUGCAACGCGAAAAACCUUACCUACCCUUGACAUGCCACUAACGAAGCAGAGAUGCAUUAGGUGCUCGAAAGAGAAAGUGGACACAGGUGCUGCAUGGCUGUCGUCAGCUCGUGUCGUGAGAUGUUGGGUUAAGUCCCGCAACGAGCGCAACCCUUGUCUCUAGUUGCUACGAAAGGGCACUCUAGAGAGACUGCCGGUGACAAACCGGAGGAAGGUGGGGAUGACGUCAAGUCCCCAUGGCCCUUAUGGGUAGGGCUUCACACGUCAUACAAUGGUGCAUACAGAGGGUUGCCAAGCCGCGAGGUGGAGCUAAUCCCAGAAAAUGCAUCGUAGUCCGGAUCGUAGUCUGCAACUCGACUACGGAAGCUGGAAUCGCUAGUAUCGCGGAUCA